Molecule: ribosomal RNA, 507 nt
Filed under: uncultured bacterium
Lineage: Bacteria
Description: bacterial SSU rRNA
Rfam family: Bacterial small subunit ribosomal RNA
Source: RNAcentral
AGUUUGAUCCUGGCUCAGAGUGAACGCUGGCGGCAGGCCUAACACAUGCAAGUCGAACGGCAGCACGGCAGUAGCAAUACUGUGGGUGGCGAGUGGCGGACGGGUGAGGAAUACAUCGGGAUCUACCCUGUUGUGGGGGAUAACGUAGGGAAACUUACGCUAAUACCGCAUAAGAACUGAGGUUGAAAGCGGCGGACCGCAAGGCGUCGCGCGAUUGGAUGAACCGAUGUCCGAUUAGCUAGUUGGCGGGUAAAGGCCCACCAAGGCGACGAUCGGUAGCUGGUCUGAGAGGACGACCAGCCACACUGGAACUGAGACACGGUCCAGACUCCUACGGGAGGCAGCAGUGGGGAAUAUUGGACAAUGGGCGCAAGCCUGAUCCAGCCAUGCCGCGUGGGUGAAGAAGGCCUUCGGGUUGUAAAGCCCUUUUGUCCGGAAAGAAAAGCAUUCGGUUAAUACCCGGGUGUUCUGACGGUACCGGAAGAAUAAGCACCGGCUAACUUCGUG